Molecule: long non-coding RNA, 1259 nt
Filed under: Callithrix jacchus (white-tufted-ear marmoset)
Lineage: Eukaryota; Metazoa; Chordata; Mammalia; Primates; Cebidae
Description: lncRNA (ENSCJAG00000082976.1)
Source: RNAcentral
CUCCUGAGGGUGCUGCUCGGAGCUAGCAGGAGCCUGGGCUGCCUCUGCAAGCUUCUGUUGGGCCAUGAUGCGUACGUAGCACUCUUGCUGCAUCCCGUGGUCAAAGCCAGUGUCUGUGGGGUGGGGAACGACUCCUCCAGGAAGGUUCUGCAAGUCUCAGGGCAACAGCGAGAGAGGCGUGAAAUUCUCAUAGGGUAGAGGGAGUGAGCGGUUCUCCAACAUAAGCCAGAUGCUAAUGAGACAUCUGAGGGAUUUUCAAGAAUCCCGUCACUGGUAUAGUUCCAGGUUAGAGCUGGCCAACGCACGAGAUUUGGAGAACGGAAAAGAGAGGCCGUUGCAGGCAGGUGACAAUGGCAAGCUUUGCAACAGUUCGGGGCAAUCUUCUUCAAAGCCCUUGCUUCUGAGCCACAGGCUGAGGCAUCGAUGGGGGCUCCCAGGAACACCAUGAGCUCCCUGGCAGCUCCCAGGCAAGCUCGAGAGAGCCGCCCACCUCGGAGCUGUGGGGCCCCUAGUCCCCUAACUGCAUUAGCUCCAGGAUGGAUGGGUGACAGCGAUGGAUGGAUGGACGGGCGGCUGGAUGGACAGAGUGGCAGGGAAGUAGCUCAUUCAGUCAUGGGACAUUUCAAGGUGGGAAGAAGGUGUUCAUCACACGGCUGUGAUCACGUGCCCAUAUGCAGACCACUCUGUCCUGGGUGCAUGAGGAGUUCAUCUCUUAAAUCCAUGGUUCUCAACAAGGACAGUCCUCCCUCCCCAUGGGACAUUUGGCAAUGACUGGAGGAGUUGCUACUGGCAUCUCCUGGAUGGAGGCCAGGCAGGGCUGUUGGUAAACAUCCCAGUCUAGUGCACAGGACAGCCUCCACCACAAAGAAUCAUCCAGCCCCAAAUGUCAGCAGCACCAAGGUUGAGAACUCUGUCCUAAACCCUGAAAUUUUCAUUUGAUAAGUGCAAUUAUAAUGCAAUGUCUUUUUGAUGCACCAAAGGCAUUAAUGUCUUCAAUGUGAAUAUUUAAAACACACAGGUGACCUGUUUGGUGAUUUAUUUCUUAAUAAAGCAGGAGUCUUAAAACAUGGGAGUGGUUCCAUGAAAGGCAACAGCAUGCACUGGGCUCAGUGGCUCAGUGGCAAGACAGCAAGCAUCUGUAUUCGACUGCACCUGGAACGAAGGGGAUGAUGGGAAUAGAGCCCAGAGAGGGGCAGGGGCUGCACCAGGCAGAACUCAGAUGCCAGGCGACAGAGCGUGAAUUGUAUCCUGGAGGGAGA